Molecule: unclassified non-coding RNA, 1479 nt
Filed under: Hevea brasiliensis (rubber tree)
Lineage: Eukaryota; Viridiplantae; Streptophyta; Magnoliopsida; Malpighiales; Euphorbiaceae
Source: RNAcentral
ACAAUGGGAAAAUUGGGAAAACAAAACUUGCAUAUACCAAUACUGACUAAAUCAUCGACGCCUCUGCCGGGAGAAACUUGGGGAUCCCAUUGCUUGUGUGCCUCUAUAGUUUUUGCUGGGUGAAUCCAUGGACCCCCGGAAGCCAUAAGCAGCUUUCGCUGGUUCUGGCACUGAAUCCAAGGGAAUUGACUCGAUGAAGCAUGCUGUAUUGAUUCUUGUUCUCUCAAGUUCUGCUUGAAGCAAUUCAGAGCUACACUGCUGAGCAAGAGCAAUCAGGUCAUCUGGAGAUGCAGUCAUUCCUUGUUGCCUGUCAUCAAGUGCAUCUUCACUCCCACGAGUUGAACGCCGUUGAUGCCCUGGAUUUUCAACAGCUUCAGCAACAUUCUCGGUUGCUUUCUCUAACAGCACACCUUGCAAGGACUUGAGUGACUCUCUUGCAUCAGGUGUAAAAUAUGGAUUCAAUAUGGUCUCAAAAUAUUCAAGCUCGAGCAUGAGCUGACAGAAAGCAUUUGCAUCGAGUGACAUAAGAUCUUUGCUUUUGUUCUCAUAGAAAAGGCUCAGAAAGGUAUCAAUUAGACCUUCCACAAGAAUGCCAAGUGUCUUAUCCAACAGAGGCUUAGCACCAGCAAAGACCCCUGAGUGCACAGCUACUAGAGUGUGCAAUAAUUCCACAGCUGCAUCACGCACACCUUUGACUGCAGGUGCAGCUCCCCAUUGAACACCAGAGUUCAGCAAAUAGUUCAUAGCAGCUGUUCUGAUCAUAUUAGCCUUUGCAAAAGUAUACUGUUGAAGGACCUUUACUUCAAGACCAGAGAAGGACAUCACUAGAUCUUGUAUGUCACUGCCAUCUUCUUUUUCCCCAGACUGCAGCCAAAUAUUUUUAUGCUUGUUGUACAACUCAUAAGAAAGUUCGUCUUUGCAGUAUCCAAUAUUACUUAACACUAUCAGCAAUUGUUGAUGUGAAUCAACAACACUUCCAUGCAGAUUAGAUGAUAAUUCGUCUUCAGUUUCAGGAGUAUAGCCAUUCUGUAAAUGCAGAUUUUCUUUGUUUGAUUUGUUUUGGGCAAGCUCACUCCCAAUUUGUUCCAAAUGACCUGCAAAAUCUAGGAAACAGUUUAAGAAGGCAAGUCUAACUGAUUCUUGAAUUUCUUGAAGUUGUGAAAACAUCUCUUCUGAUUUUUUUGCUUCACUCCUCAAGGACUUAAUCAUCAAACUGAUUUGAUUCAUUGCUGAGGCUAUAACUGAGCGGAAUGCUAGAGGCAAGAAAGAGAUUGUGUAUGGAGAUUUAUUCCUUUCAAGAAUGGAUACAGGAACCCAUGUUUCCUCUUUUGAUAUCUCUUCUGUUGUUGCUCGCAUCCAAGAGCAAAGCCUAAGUAUGUAAAUCUUUGUAAUCUCAGCCUGAAGAGUUCUGAGUGCCAUGACAGCAAUAGGUGGAGCUGACUCUUUUGCUUCAAAAGCUUGGCAGGCUUUGGAUAUUUC